Molecule: ribosomal RNA, 497 nt
Filed under: uncultured bacterium
Lineage: Bacteria
Description: partial 16S ribosomal RNA
Rfam family: Bacterial small subunit ribosomal RNA
Source: RNAcentral
GAUGAACGCUGGCGGCGUGCCUAAUACAUGCAAGUCGAGCGAACAGACGAGGAGCUUGCUCCUCUGCCGUUAGCGGCGGACGGGUGAGUAACACGUGGAUAACCUACCUAUAAGACUGAGAUACCUUCGGGAAACCUGAGCUAAUACCGGAUAAUAUAUUGAACCGCAUGGUUUAAUAGUGUAAGACGGUUUUGCUGUCACUUAUAGAUGGUUCCGCGCCGCAUUAGCUAGUUGGUAAGGUAACGGCUUACCAAGGCAACGAUGCGUAGCCGACCUGAGAGGGUGAUCGGCCACACUGGAACUGAGACACGGUCCAGACACCUAAGGGAGGCAGCAGUAGGGAAUCUUACGCAAUGGGCGAAAGCCUGACGGAGCAACGCCGCGUGAGGGAUGAAGGUCUUCGGAUCGUAAAACUCUGUUAGUAGGGAAGAACAAAUGUGUAAGUAACUAUGCACGUCUUGACGGUAACUAAUCAGAAAGCAACGGCUAACUACGUG